This 487-nucleotide ribosomal RNA is filed under the name uncultured Archaeospora. Its description in RNAcentral is "SSU rRNA". It matches the Rfam family "Eukaryotic small subunit ribosomal RNA", at positions 569 to 1061 of the family's 1831-position model. Lineage: Eukaryota; Fungi; Glomeromycota; Glomeromycetes; Archaeosporales; Archaeosporaceae. The record is from RNAcentral.
AGCAGCCGCGGUAAUUCCAGCUCCAAUAGCGUAUAUUAAAGUUGUUGCAGUUAAAAAGCUCGUAGUUGAAUUUUGGGUUUGGCCAAUUGGUCCGUUCUUGUAACGAGUACUGGUUGGUUGGGCCUCACCGCCUGGUGAUACGUAAUGUCCUUUAUUGGGUGUUGCGAGUAGCCAGGACCUUUACCUUGAAAAAAUUAGAGUGUUUAAAGCAGGCUUAUGCCGGAAUACAUUAGCAUGGAAUAAUAGAAUAGGACGAUGAUUCUAUUUUGUCGGUUUCUAGGAGCAUCGUAAUGAUUAAUAGGGAUAGUUGGGGGCAUUAGUAUUCAAUUGUCAGAGGUGAAAUUCUUGGAUUUAUUGAAGACUAACUACUGCGAAAGCAUUUGCCAAGGAUGUUUUCAUUAAUCAAGAACGAAAGUUAGGGGAUCGAAGACGAUCAGAUACCGUCGUAGUCUUAACCAUAAACUAUGCCGACUAGGGAUCGGAUGAU